RNAcentral lists this long non-coding RNA (285 nucleotides) under Olea europaea subsp. europaea. The record is from RNAcentral. Lineage: Eukaryota; Viridiplantae; Streptophyta; Magnoliopsida; Lamiales; Oleaceae.
UGGGCAUACCACGGAGGAUUGUCAAGCUUUGCAGCGGGAAAUCGAAGCCUUCAUUAAAAGAGGAUUCUUAAGGAAUUACAUUGGUCAUGAUAAACGCUCGAGGAAUGAUCGUGACAAUCGGAAAGAGCCUGGAACCGGAAACAGUGCUCAACCCACUGUCGGGACAAUUAAUAUUAUCGUCGGGGGCAUAGCAUUUGCAGGAGACACAAAUAGUGGGCGAAAGCAGUAUAUCCGCCAACAUGCUCAUAUCCCAAGGGAAUCCCGUGAUGAAGUCAAAAACAUCAC